Molecule: ribosomal RNA, 253 nt
Filed under: uncultured bacterium
Lineage: Bacteria
Description: partial 16S ribosomal RNA
Rfam family: Bacterial small subunit ribosomal RNA
Source: RNAcentral
UACAGAGGGUGCGAGCGUUAAUCGGAGUUACUGGGCGUAAAGGGCGCGUAGGCGGUUUUAAGGGUGUGAUGUGAAAGCCCCAGGCUUAACCUGGGAAGUGCAUCGCAAACCAUGAGACUGGAGUACAAGAGAGGGUGGCGGAAUUUCCGGUGUAGCGGUGAAAUGCGUAGAGAUCGGAAGGAACGUCGAUGGCGAAGGCAGCCACCUGGCUUGAUACUGACGCUGAGGCGCGAAAGCGUGGGGAGCGAGCAGG